AGUCUUGUCUGUCCUUAUCAGAGUUGGCGGUUUUAGAUUAACUGAUUCUAUCACAGCCAGCUUUGAUGAGCACAGUUGAGAUU
This is a non-coding RNA of Tribolium castaneum (red flour beetle), 83 nucleotides long. NCBI's taxonomy places the organism in Eukaryota, Metazoa, Arthropoda, Insecta, Coleoptera, Tenebrionidae. The record is from RefSeq and is marked provisional.